Molecule: ribosomal RNA, 458 nt
Filed under: uncultured bacterium
Lineage: Bacteria
Description: partial 16S ribosomal RNA
Rfam family: Bacterial small subunit ribosomal RNA
Source: RNAcentral
CCUACGGGCGGCAGCAGUGAGGAAUAUUGGUCAAUGGGCGAGAGCCUGAACCAGCCAAGUCGCGUGAGGGAGUACUGCCCUAUGGGUUGUAAACCUCUUUUGUCGGGGAGCAACAGCCGGACGUGUCCGGCUGUGAGAGUACCCUAAGAAAAAGCAUCGGCUAACUCCGUGCCAGCAGCCGCGGUAAUACGGAGGAUGCGAGCGUUAUCCGGAUUUAUUGGGUUUAAAGGGUGCACAGGCGGAUUUUUAAGUCAGCGGUAAAAUCGGGGGGCUCAACCCCAUCCAGCCGUUGAAACUGGGGAUCUAGAGUGUGCGAGAGGUAUGCGGAAUGCGUGGUGUAGCGGUGAAAUGCAUAGAUAUCACGCAGAACACCGAUUGCGAAGGCAGCAUACCGGUGCACAACUGACGCUGAGGCACGAAAGCGUGGGUAUCGAACAGGAUUAGAUACCCCUGUAGUC